AAGUCGUAACAAGGUUUCCGUAGGUGAACCUGCGGAAGGAUCAUUAUCGAAUUCAGGUCGGAAAGGGGGGAGAGACUGUCGCCAUGAUCACCGGACGUGUGCACGUCUUCCCUCCCGAUCCACCACUGCUAUACUGCAACACACCCGUGCACCCUUUGUAGGUCCUCGACAGAGGAUCUAUGUCUUCGUUCAUUCUCCACGUCGUAUGUCCCAUGAAAUAAAUCAUAACAUUUUGUAUACAACUUUCAGCGACGGAUCUCUUGGCUCUC
This 269-nucleotide unclassified non-coding RNA is filed under the name air metagenome. Its description in RNAcentral is "partial contains small subunit ribosomal RNA, internal transcribed spacer 1, and 5.8S ribosomal RNA". The stretch from base 1 to 46 matches the Rfam family "Eukaryotic small subunit ribosomal RNA", at positions 1786 to 1831 of the family's 1831-position model. The record is from RNAcentral.